GGGUGUUUAGCUCAGUGGCAGAGCGUCCCGUUCACAUCGGGAAGGUCGCUGGUUCGAAUCCAGCAAUACCCACAA
This 75-nucleotide transfer RNA is filed under the name Parcubacteria group bacterium CG_4_10_14_0_2_um_filter_7_35_8. Its description in RNAcentral is "tRNA-Val". It matches the Rfam family "tRNA". From Rfam's summary of the family: Transfer RNA (tRNA) molecules are approximately 80 nucleotides in length. Their secondary structure includes four short double-helical elements and three loops (D, anti-codon, and T loops). Further hydrogen bonds mediate the characteristic L-shaped molecular structure. tRNAs have two regions of fundamental functional importance: the anti-codon, which is responsible for specific mRNA codon recognition, and the 3' end, to which the tRNAs corresponding amino acid is attached (by aminoacyl-tRNA synthetases). tRNAs cope with the degeneracy of the genetic code in two manners: having more than one tRNA (with a specific anti-codon) for a particular amino acid; and 'wobble' base-pairing, i.e. permitting non-standard base-pairing at the 3rd anti-codon position. The record is from RNAcentral. RNAcentral also lists the same sequence under 1 other name.